AACAGUUACAAAGAGAGAGAAAGGGAGUGCGGCAUCGGAGAGAGAGAGAGAGCGGUGUCGGAGAGAGUGAGAGAGCGACCAACGUUUGUGAUGGUACAGGAGUAGAUGGCGACGGGGAUGUUAGCUCGGAGGCUGCCAUGGCUCUGACAGUGACGACGGUUAAAUGGCUAGGGUUCCGAUCAAGUUCCGGCAUCUUUUCGGAGGACACUAACCGUAUAACUAGAUAAGUGAAGAGAACAAAAGCAGAGGGCUAUGAUCAAGAGAGAGUGAAGAUGUUUGCUUCUGCAAUUAUUUGGGUUGAUCUCCAUAUCUCAAACUACUAUAGGACAGAGAUGCUGAUGAUGUGAAAGUUGCUGAUUUGGAGGCCCACCUAAGGAGAGACAAAAUUUUCUAGCAAGUGGUUAGCUGAUGAAAAAGGGACUGAUGAGACGAAUGGAUCAAAAGAAACUUCCAGGUUAGGAAUGCAAAAUUUCAAUUUAUUAUUAGUAGAGUACAUCUAUAUUAAGAGCAUGUUUAAAUCUCCCUUUAUUUAAGACUUUGAUCUUUAAUCAAAAAUGGGUUUUCUUUAUGGAAAUUAUUGAUCUUUUUGUUGUUGAAUAAGCGAAAAUGAUGGAUGUUGACAAGAGUAACACCAGCGCCACCAACAACACUUUCAAUGCCGCAAUUUGUGUGUGUGGUUUUUAGGUUUGUUAACUAUUGCAACCACUGUGGUGGUUACGGUUUACUCUAAAAGACGGUUGACUGACUUGCAAAAGGAUGAAGAACGGCUACUGAUGUAAUAAGAUAUUGAAGACAAACAGUAACUAACAAAACAAAGUGUAAUUUCAUUAAUUAUAAAAUUAUAAUAUAAUGAUGAUUACCGGUAUUAGUGUGUUGACGUGCUGUGCGAUGUUGAUAAACGCUAAUUAUACAUGUAAGCUCAUUUGGUAUUUUAGACCUUAGUUCUUUAUCCGGUGAUUUUCUUUAUUUUGGUUCCGCUGAUUUUUUAUAUCAUGUGGCUUUUUCCAGUUGGUGCAGCUGUUGUUUAUAGUGAAUAGGGAUCAGCUCGGUACCGACCGGUACCGGAACCGAAACUACUGGUACCGAAAAUCCGCAAAAGUAGGUACCGGUACCAAAUAUACCUGGUACGGUACGGUUCGGUACCGGUAUGGUACCGGUGUUUGAGGGUAAAAACCGGUACCGAAAAUGUACCCGGUUCGCUAAAUUCGGUACCGAUACUGGUUCGGUGCCGGGUACCAUUUGCUCAUCCCUACAAAUUCAAUGUGGCAGGUAGCGUUGAUUGAAGAAAAGUGACAAUCCAAGGACUCGCGAGACGGAAAUCUUGUACAGGUAAAGUGGUAAAACCCCACCCUAACACACACAAAAUAAUUCAUUUAUAUUGCUUUGUUAUGAUUCACAAAUUUCUUGAACUGUACAUAGGGGGCUUUAACUUUUAUAGUAAAAAAGUAAGGCAUAUUAGUUAAAUGCUGGGUGAUUUAGGACCUGAUAACAUAUGUUUCAAAAGAAAAGGUUAAUCAAGUCUUUGUAAAAGGUUUAACUUGUGAAAUAUUAAUCGACAUAAAAGAUAAUGGUUUUCUUUAAAUUUACAGUUACAUUAAACCUAAUACCAUGUACAAGAGUUGGAGAGUUGUUGGUGCUAAAGUUUUAUCAAACUGGGAUGGUUUUUGUGUUGUAAGGGUACUGUGUUUGACUAAAAAAGUCGAGGUGUAACAGUUAAACCUCGACUAUAAAAGUAUUUCGGUAUACUUAUUGCUUAUCUUGAUGUUAAAGUUUGAGAUAAUACUCGCUUAUAAUCGUUUUUGUGCUUUGUUAGUUUGCAAAUUUCCCUUUCACUAUCAAUAUACAGACAUGAGUAUUUUUUCAAACAACUACGCUCAUCAAGAUUGGCUACCGGUUGUUACACAUCUUAUAGAGGUAGACUUUAGGCCACCACUCAACAACUGGAAUAGACCACUACCACCCAACAACAUUAAACAGCCAACAAACAACUAGAAUGGCUUACCACCGCCGCAAAACACUGGAGCAAUACCACCAAGCAUGGUAGGAGGGCCUAACUACCAGCAGCAGGGGGCAGUGUGGACAAACAAUGGAGGCAACAAUCUUAGAUGAAUCUUAUUUGAUACUUAUUUUGUCCUAAACGUUAUUCCGUCCAAUUCAAUACAGAUUGUGUAUGUACAUCGUAUAAAAUCCAAUUCACACA
This is a long non-coding RNA of Helianthus annuus (common sunflower), 2200 nucleotides long. RefSeq lists it as uncharacterized. Lineage: Eukaryota; Viridiplantae; Streptophyta; Magnoliopsida; Asterales; Asteraceae. The transcript has 3 exons. The record is from RefSeq and is a predicted model, not a curated record.